AUUGAACGCUGGCGGCAGGCCUAACACAUGCAAGUCGAGCGGCAGCGGAAAGUAGCUUGCUACUUUGCCGGCGAGCGGCGGACGGGUGAGUAAUGUCUGGGGAUCUGCCUGGUGGAGGGGGAUAACUACUGGAAACGGUAGCUAAUACCGCAUAACGUCGCAAGACCAAAGCGGGGGACCUUCGGGCCUCGCGCCAUCAGAUGAACCCAGAUGGGAUUAGCUAGUAGGUGGGGUAAUGGCUCACCUAGGCGACGAUCCCUAGCUGGUCUGAGAGGAUGACCAGCCACACUGGAACUGAGACACGGUCCAGACUCCUACGGGAGGCAGCAGUGGGGAAUAUUGCACAAUGGGCGCAAGCCUGAUGCAGCCAUGCCGCGUGUAUGAAGAAGGCCUUCGGGUUGUAAAGUACUUUCAGCGAGGAGGAAGGCGGUAAGGUUAAUAACCUUACUGAUUGACGUUACUCGCAGAAGAAGCACCGGCUAACUCCG
This 488-nucleotide ribosomal RNA is filed under the name uncultured bacterium. Its description in RNAcentral is "partial 16S ribosomal RNA". It matches the Rfam family "Bacterial small subunit ribosomal RNA", at positions 30 to 505 of the family's 1533-position model. The record is from RNAcentral.